Molecule: unclassified non-coding RNA, 90 nt
Filed under: Pseudomonas fluorescens
Lineage: Bacteria; Pseudomonadati; Pseudomonadota; Gammaproteobacteria; Pseudomonadales; Pseudomonadaceae
Source: RNAcentral
UGUGGGAGCGGGCUUGCUCGCGAAUGCGGCGUGUCAGUCAGCUUAAGCAUCGACUGAAACACCACAUUCGCGAGCAAGCCCGCUCCCACA